RNAcentral lists this long non-coding RNA (203 nucleotides) under Gossypium raimondii (Peruvian cotton). RNAcentral's name for it is "long non-coding RNA (GRAI_LNC005980)". Lineage: Eukaryota; Viridiplantae; Streptophyta; Magnoliopsida; Malvales; Malvaceae. The record is from RNAcentral.
GAGUUUAGAUCAUUUAACUUUGUCAAUCAUAUUUUUUGGAUUAUGUUAUUGUAUGUUUUUUUCACUCGAGUUUAAUACGUGGGUUCAUGUUUUAUUGGGUUUAGAUCUUUUCAAGUCGGUUUUUUUUUUUAGUUUAGAUAAAUUUAAAGUUAAGAUGAUUUAGAGAGUGAGUUGACUCUGAGUUCGAGCUCUUUUGAGUUUGG